Molecule: ribosomal RNA, 490 nt
Filed under: uncultured bacterium
Lineage: Bacteria
Description: partial 16S ribosomal RNA
Rfam family: Bacterial small subunit ribosomal RNA
Source: RNAcentral
GUGAACGCUGGCGGUAGGCCUAACACAUGCAAGUCGAACGGCAGCACAGUAAGAGCUUGCUCUUACGGGUGGCGAGUGGCGGACGGGUGAGGAAUACAUCGGAAUCUACUUUUUCGUGGGGGAUAACGUAGGGAAACUUACGCUAAUACCGCAUACGACCUACGGGUGAAAGCAGGGGAUCUUCGGACCUUGCGCGAUUGAAUGAGCCGAUGUCGGAUUAGCUAGUUGGCGGGGUAAAGGCCCACCAAGGCGACGAUCCGUAGCUGGUCUGAGAGGAUGAUCAGCCACACUGGAACUGAGACACGGUCCAGACUCCUACGGGAGGCAGCAGUGGGGAAUAUUGGACAAUGGGCGCAAGCCUGAUCCAGCCAUACCGCGUGGGUGAAGAAGGCCUUCGGGUGGUAAAGCCCUUUUGUUGGGAAAGAAAAGCAGCAGGUUAAUACCCCGCUGUUCUGACGGUACCCAAAGAAUAAGCACCGGCUAACUUCGU